This is a long non-coding RNA of Vidua chalybeata, 2444 nucleotides long. RefSeq lists it as uncharacterized. The record is from RefSeq and is a predicted model, not a curated record. The transcript is spliced from 4 exons. Lineage: Eukaryota; Metazoa; Chordata; Aves; Passeriformes; Viduidae.
UAGGCGUGUGCUACACAAGCUGGAUGGUGGAAAGGAUUUUAAGCACUGUCCACUCCCAAUAUGACAGGACAGCUGGAGCUGGAAGGGACCUCUGGGGAUUGUCUGGAGCAGAACACCCCUAUGAGCACAGCUGCCAGUCUGUGCUGCUGCAGAGGAUGGCAGGCACAGCUGUGCUGCUCUGUGUGACACACGGGUUGCUCCUCGUGUUACCCCUGGUGGGGCGAAGGCAGAAUGUUUACACUACCUUUACUGCCAAGUACUUUGUUAGAGACUUCCACAAACUCCCUCUCAAUGCAGGAGGAAUGGGCUGAUGCCUUCAGGACUACCUCCUAAUGCAUCUGGCUGUAGACUUGCCUCAAGAACCCAAUGAAUCGUGAGCUGCUGUUACAUAUUGGAUCCACCAUAUGAUUUUAUUCAAGUCCUUCAGGGAGGGGAGACUCAGUGAAUACCAGUUGUGGAAGACCACCUGAAUGGCUGCCUUGUCCUCCAGCAUAAUGAUAUAGAACCUCAGUUCAGUGUCCUGCACAGACUUGCUGAGGAGCCAUUAUUUUCUGUCAUCCAGAUUGCUGGUGAAGACUGGCCAUAGUGUUGUCACUUGAAGAAUGCCAUCUGUUAAUACCAGUUGAAUGUCUCAUUCAUUAUUAUCCUUCAAGCCUUAUAGGAUAGCUGAGAGCUUUUUUUCAGCCAGGUUGUUGUGCAUCCAUUCAGUCAAUGCCAUCCUAGAUUGGCCCAUAUGGAAGACAGUGCCAAAGACCAUGCUAGAACAAAAUAAGAGACAUCCACUGCUUCCCCCACCUUGUCCACUGAGCACAUCAUUCCAGUGCAGGUGAUAGCCACACCAGUCAGGUACAAUUUGUCUCUCUGAGAUACAUACUGGCUGUUACUAGCUACCUUCUUGUAUCUAGACAUGGCUCCUUUGUGGAUUUGCUCCAUAACAUUUCCAGGAAAAAUGUGUGGAUAUCUUUUGUAACACAUCUUCAUCUCUUCUUUGUCUAAUCCCUUUCAGAGUAAGUGGGUUGAUUACGUGUGUUGAAUUUGUGAGACCUUCAGCAUGAGCCUGUGCUGUUGGUUGAGGAAAUUUUUGUUAGGGAGUUGCUGAGCAGGCCAAACCCAGAAGCAAACUAAGCAGGACACUCCUAUUUUCCCUCUCUUGGGACUCCCUUUCUUCUCAGCCCCACCACCAAUGACAAUUUCCUGCCAUUGUUGCUGUGGUUUUUGUGUUACUUCAGAGCAGGAGCCCUAUAAGGAAGAGAUGGGAAGAGCGGGGGAAUGAGGCUGCCUGGACAGUACAGUAGGGUGUGCCAGGUCCUGGCCCUGGCAAAGAUUCAAAUAGCUGGAGAAAAAGGGAAUCAUAAGCAGGAAGAAAGGAUAAGGUCAGCUGCAUGGGAUGUUAGGGAUAGGCAUGGUCCUUUCUAGAGAGCACGAGUAGUUCAGUCAACAGAAAGGGCCAGGCAUUUGCCAAAAACCACAUUUGCACAAUGGCCUAGAGUGGUUUGAAUUCAGAGACAACAGCUGGGUUUCACGAGUUAUAACUUUGGUUCACAGGUAUCUGUGGUCAGGACUGAGGUCAGUGGUGCUGUUAGAGAAGGUAAGAAAGAAUGGCUGAAAAGCCACCAGGCCUGACUGUGGAACCCAAGCAGAACAAAUACUAGUGUGCCAAGCUGGCUUGCAUCUGGGUGGCUUGAGAUGUGUUCCUGCCACAGGGGCCUGGCUGCAGCCACAGCACCUGCUCCCAGCCAAGGCAGGUCUGUGACAGCCCCUGAAUCGCCCUUUGCUGUGGAAAACAAAACUCCUGGACACUGCUCAGUACGUGAUGGGCCAGCCUCACAGGUGGGGAUUCAUGGGGCCUUCACAACCAGAAAGACUCAGCAGAGCAGACACAUCCUUUGUGACUGAAAGUGAACCAUGGCAUUGCACUUGAGGAAAGAGGCAGCCCAGCAGUGGCUGGUGAUGACUCUGAAGGAACACUCAGGCAGGCAGCAUCGGGCAUGUCUUGCUAAUUGGAAGAAACUCCAGGAGGACUCCAGGGUCCCAAGGCAAGUGAGAGCACCUGCGCACUGCAGUCCUCCUACAUUAGUGAAACCUGAUUUGCUGGGUCACCCUCCUGGAGUGACACAAUAUCAUUUCGAGUUGUUUGCUUAUUACAGAGAUACAAUCAAAAGGUGUGGUGCCCUGAUUGGAGUCUAGCAAGAAAGUAACACUCUUAUUCACCCACCCACCCACCCACCUUUGGCAGAUGGUCUGAGGGUCUCUCCUUUGCUUCAUGACAGAAAGUGGUUGAUUCAUCCCCACCCAGCAGUAAUUAUGUGUUGCUGCCUACUGGAAGUUCCCAUGUUGGCAUCAGAGUGCUAAGCCUAGAACUCACUGCUAAGAUUAAUUGCAAAGUAAAAGCGUGAUUUCUUGAUGUCUGUGUUAUAUUCAGUUACUUAACACUCGGUAUCAUU